Molecule: long non-coding RNA, 1880 nt
Organism: Salvelinus fontinalis (brook trout)
Lineage: Eukaryota; Metazoa; Chordata; Actinopteri; Salmoniformes; Salmonidae
Exons: 4
Source: RefSeq, a predicted model, not a curated record
AUAUGUUUGUGAAGGGACCAAGGCACACACGAAAAGAAUCAGCCUGCAUACAUCGAUAUUCGAUACAGAUAUUUAAAAUACAAUUGAUGAAUUCAAACAUGAUUAAAUUACAUUAGCUUUUGACCUUUUCGACUGCUCUAUUGAAUGUAUCCAAUGUUAUUUAUUUGGCGCUGUUCACAAGAGCUAUGGAGUACUCUAGUGAAAGGACGUCAAGGAAGUUUUGUAUCCAUUGAAUUAUGCUAAGUUAUGUGGAGGCUUCCAUCUGGUCACUAACAUCCUUUUUGUCACAGUCAGGCCAGACAACCACACUCAUUUCUGGGAUACUGUGAGAGUCAGUGAAGAGUCAUUGUUCAACAAUAAUAUAUUGGGGGAGAUAGGGAAUGGGAACACCAACUGUGCUCGGUAGAGAACUGGCAACCUGUGACCAAAAGGUCUUCACACUGGGGCAGUCCCACAUCAUUUGCACGUCCGUAUUGAGUGGCAGAUGAUUGGUCCAAACUGAGAACAGCAAAACUUAGGAGGUUCAGUGCAUGGCCCAGACCCCACGUCACCACCUCUUCCCUGUCACCAUCAAAAUCACAAUCCCUUCUGGCAGGAUCCAUCAUCUGGUUGGCAGACCGGGUGCCAUCCAGUCCGCCUCGCCUCCCUCCCGGGGGACCAGCCGGCACGGGGAGACGGAGAGGGAGACGCACAGAAGCCUCCCAGGCUCGGCAGCAGCUGGGCGGGUAGACAAGGGAGAGGUGCACAUGUGAGCAGUUUGAGGAACUCUGAAGCAACAGAAGAACAGACUCAAUUCGUCGUGGCAUGGACUACAAGGUGUCUAAAGCGUUCCACAGGGAUGCUGGCCAAUGUUGACUCCAGUGCUUCCAGGUUGGUUGGAUGUCCUUCGGGUGGUGGACCAUUCUUGAUACACACGGGAGCGUUGCAGUUCUUGACACUCAAACCGGUGCGCCUACAAUAUCCUGUUCAAAGACAUUUAAAUAUUUGUCUUGCCUAAUCACCAUCUGAAUGACACACAUACAGAAUCCAUGUCUCUAUUGUCUCAAUACAUAAAGAAGGAUUUGUAAUUGUAAAAUGUCUGUAGGGUGGGGUCUAAGUCGGUUAAACAUGGUCAUACUGUCAAUCAUUUAGCCAUUUGAUUUUGAAUUUAAGGACCCUUUAAGGUAUCCCCCCAAAAAACAUACAAAGUUUAUUCAAUAAAAUAUUGAAUUUUUCCUUUACUACUAUAGCCCAGAGAAACGCAUUGAAUAACACAUUCAUAAUGGCAAAAAAGACAUCAAAGAUACAAGGUUUUCAAGUUGGUGUCCUAUAUCUAGGACAAAAACACAACAUGCAACAUUUUCAAAGAUUUUACCAGGUUACAAUUCAUAUAAGGAAAUCAGUCAAUUGAAAUAAAUUCCUUAGGCCCUAAUCUAUGACAUGACUGGGAAUACAGAUAUUCAUAUGUUGGUCACAGACACAGACAAAAGGUAGGGGCGUGGAUCAGCAAACCACUCGGAAAACCAGUCAGUGUUACCACCCUUUUCCCUUAAUAUGAUGUUCUAUUUAGUCCACCAGGUUGUGCACACACUUCUCUGAUGGCUACUGUGUGCAAACUAUGCGCUGGUGUUCUUGGCGACAUUCUAUUGCUGUAACAUGCGUCACUCACAUGUGUGUCUGUUUUCUGCUUUCCCACCACCCACCCGAGCCUCCACCUGUUUGGUUCUGUGUUUCCUUCCUACAUGGGGAUUGGUAUAGCAUACCUUGCUCUCUGCCUGUAAUUAUCAUUAUCUUAACAUUAUGUAUGCUUUGGCAGUGAGUUACUCCAAAGGAGCAGAGCCUAACGCAUAGACUAACAUAUUGCAUGUAUUGUAAUAUUUUCUAAUAAAUGGUCAAACGAA